UCAAGCUCCUAAGGGUGCAUGGUGGAUGUCUAGGCGUGAUGAGGCGAUGAAGGACGUGGUAGGCUGCGAUAAGCCCAGGGGAGCUGUCAAACGAGCUUUGAUCCUGGGAUGUCCGAAUGGGGAAACCCGGCGUCACAGUGCAAGCUGAUGGCGUCACCGCCGACUGAAUGCAUAGGUCGGCGGGGCGAACGCAGGGAACUGAAACAUCUAAGUACCUGCAGGAAAAGAAAUCACCGAGACUCCGUAAGUAGCGGCGAGCGAAAGCGGAUCAGCCCAAACCGGGCUUCGGCCCGGGGUUGCGGGCGCCAAUCAGGAGUUACAAAGGCAACGGUAGCUGAAGAGUCUGGAAAGGCUCACGAUACAGGGUGAAAGUCCCGUAAGCGACGCCGCAAGCCCUCCGUUACGGUUGGCGUACCAGAGUAGCACGGAGCUCGUGGAACUCCGUGUGAAGCUGGGGAGCCCACUCUCCAAGGCUAAGUACUACAUCACGACCAAUAGUGGACAAGUAGGGCGAUUGAAUGAUGAAAAGCACCCCUUUUAGGGGAGUUAAAAGUACCUGAAACCAUGUACCUACAAGUCGUCGAAGCCCUAUGCCCCGCAAGGGGAAUGGGUGACGGCGUGCCUUUUGCAUAAUGAACCGGCGAGUUAUUGUCUACGGCUUGGCUAAGCCUCUCCGGGGCGGAGCCGAAGGGAAACCGAGUCUUAAUAGGGCGACAUUGUCGUAGGCGAUAGACCCGAAACUGAGUGAUCUACCCAUGGCCAGGAUGAAGCGACCGUAAAAGGUCGCGGAGGUCCGAACCCGUUACCGUUGAAAAGGUAUGGGAUGAGCUGUGGGGAGGAGUAAAAGUCUAAUCAAACUCAGAGAUAUCUGGUUCUCUCCGAAAUAGCUUUUGGGCUAGCCUCGAGUCAUUGCGCAGCGGGGGUAGAGCACUGGAUGAAACGUCGGGCCCACCAGGCUACGACCUUCAACCAAACUCCGAAUACCGUUGCGUGUACCUCGGGAGUCAGUCUACGAGGGAUAACCUUCGUGGUCAAAAGGGAAACAACCCAGAUCGCCGGCUAAGGUCCCAAAACCAUGCUAAGUGACUAAGGAAGUCGGAUUGCUGUGACAGCCAGGAUGUUGGCUUAGAAGCAGCCACCAUUUAAACAGUGCGUAAUAGCUGACUGGUCGAGCAACCCGGCGCCGAUAAUGAUCGGGACUAAGCAUGGCACCGAAGCCGCGGAUUCGUCGCAAGACGAGUGGUAGGAGAGCGUAGCUGUCGGCGUCGAAGGCGUACCGUAAGGAGCGCUGGAGCGGCAGCUAGUGAGAAUGCCGGUAUGAGUAACGAUAAAGCAGGUGAAAAUCCUGCUCGCCGUAAGCCUAAGGUUUCCUGGGGAAGGGAAAUCCGCCCAGGGUUAGUCGGGCCCUAAGUCGAGGCCGAAAGGCGUAGACGAUGGAUAGCAGGUUAAUAUUCCUGCACUAUGCGUGGCGGUUGAACUGCGAAUGACGCAUCUACACACCAGAUCCACCCGGUAGUCGUGGUGGUUGGGGCUGCCGCAAGGCAGUAGCUCGAGGCCGAUUGGUUGCCGAAGUCUGGAACGUAGGUGCCGAGAAAAGCUUCGCGGGGACAAAACGCGUAUCCGUACUAAAACUGACACAGGUAGGCGAGGAGAGUAUCCUCAGGCGCUCGAGAGAACUGUUGUUAAGGAACUAGGCAAUAUGACCCCGUAACUUAGGGAUAAGGGGUCCCUCCCAAACGACUUGAAUAACAUCUUGCCGUUUGGAGGGCGCAGAGAAUCGGAUCUGGCGACUGUUUAUCAAAAACACAGGUCUCUGCUAACUCGCAAGAGGAUGUAUAGAGACUGACGCCUGCCCGGUGCCGGAAGGUCAAGGAAGUCGGUUAGUCCGCAAGGGCGAAGCUGGCAACCUAAGCCCCGGUAAACGGCGGCCGUAACUAUGACGGUCCUAUGGUAGCGAAGUUCCUUGUCGGGUAAGUUCCGACGUGCAUGAAUGGCGUAACGACUGGAUCCCUGUCUCAACAACAGACUCGGUGAAAUUACAAACGCGGUGAAGAUGCCGCGUUCCCGCGGCAAGACGGAAAGACCCCGUGAACCUUUACUGUAGCCUGGUAUUGAUGUCUUGUGCCACAUGCGUAGGAUAGGUGGGAGGCGUUGAAGUCCUGGUCCCGGCCAGGGCCGAGCCACCCUUGAAAUACCACCCUUGUGUCACCAGCCAUCUAACCUCGAGCCGUGAAUCCGGCCGAGGGACAAUGCUUGGUGGGCAGUUUGACUGGGGCGGUCUCCUCCCAAAACGUAACGGAGGAGUCCAAAGGCAUCCUCAGCACGGUUGGCAAUCGUGCGUAGAGUGCAAGGGCAUAAGGAUGCUUGACUGCGAGAC
This 2377-nucleotide ribosomal RNA is filed under the name Candidatus Hydrogenedentes bacterium ADurb.Bin101. Its description in RNAcentral is "bacterial LSU rRNA". It matches the Rfam family "Bacterial large subunit ribosomal RNA", at positions 3 to 2381 of the family's 2925-position model. The record is from RNAcentral. Lineage: Bacteria; Pseudomonadati; Candidatus Hydrogenedentota.